Armigeres subalbatus is the source of this 776-nucleotide long non-coding RNA. RefSeq lists it as uncharacterized. The record is from RefSeq and is a predicted model, not a curated record. The transcript is spliced from 3 exons. Lineage: Eukaryota; Metazoa; Arthropoda; Insecta; Diptera; Culicidae.
AUGAGUCCUACGUUGUGUCUUUUCUAAUUCAAUUUCCGACACUUCUGCCGGUCGGUAGUAGUGUAUGCAGCAGGGGGGUCUGGGUUUCUCUUUUCUUUCGCAGGUAGCAGUAGCAGCAACGGAGCAUCAACGGACGACGGAGGCACAGUACCGGGACAACGGUGGAUCCACAGGUACAAAUAUUCACAAAUCGCUGGCAUGUGGAUUGUUGGUUGGAUUUCUGGUGCUACAUCGUUGGAAUUCAUCGAAAACUGCCGCGGAUUGCGGUACCAGGCAUGUUGUUAUUUCGCUUCGUUGAACUUCGUCGGGAUGAUCAGCAAGCGGCAAGAGGCAUAUUUUGUUGAUGGAUGUACGGCGACGAUGCGGGCAAGUGGCCAACGGAUUGCUGGUAGUGAGUCAUCCGCAACGAUGACCAGGCGACCAGGAUGAAUUUGGUUGUUGCAAGCUGCAUAUUUUGUAUCGCGCAUCAGCUCCUGCAGAUAUUCUCUCUUCCAAUGGACCCAGAAUUUUUGGACGAGCUGCUGCCAGUUUUGAUACGUUCCGAGCAAGCCAGUCGGGAGAUGCUGAUAAUCUGGGUCGGGCAAGGCGGUGGACGAUGUUCCGAUGAGGAAGUGCGCCGGUGUCAGCGCAGCCAGAUCGUUCGGGUCGUCGGAGAUGGGCAGCAGAGGACGAGAAUUCAUCAUGGCUUCUAUUUGUGUUAGCACCGUGUAAUAGCCCUCGAAUGUGAGACGAGUACUACCGAGUUGUCUGAAUAAAUGUUUUUUGGCACUUUUGAC